This 301-nucleotide ribosomal RNA is filed under the name uncultured bacterium. RNAcentral describes it as "partial 16S ribosomal RNA". It matches the Rfam family "Bacterial small subunit ribosomal RNA", at positions 509 to 809 of the family's 1533-position model. The record is from RNAcentral.
CAGUCGCCGCGGGAACACGUAGGGUGCGAGCGUUAAUCGGAAUUACUGGGCGUAAGGCGUGCGCAGGCGGUUCGCUAAGACAGAUGUGAAAUCCCCGGGCUUAACCUGGGAACUGCAUUUGUGACUGGCGAGCUAGAGUAUGGCAGAGGGGGGUAGAAUUCCACGUGUAGCAGUGAAAUGCGUAGAGAUGUGGAGGAAUACCGAUGGCGAAGGCAGCCCCCUGGGCCAAUACUGACGCUCAUGCACGAAAGCGUGGGGAGCAAACAGGAUUAGAUACCCGUGUAGUCCCUGUCUCUUAUAA